This 67-nucleotide transfer RNA is filed under the name Atheta gagatina. RNAcentral describes it as "tRNA-Leu". The record is from RNAcentral. Lineage: Eukaryota; Metazoa; Arthropoda; Insecta; Coleoptera; Staphylinidae.
AUUAUUUUGGCAGAUUAGUGCAUUAAAUUUAGAAUUUAAUUAUGUAAUUUAUUUAUUACAAAUAAUA